Molecule: non-coding RNA, 182 nt
Organism: Pimephales promelas (fathead minnow)
Lineage: Eukaryota; Metazoa; Chordata; Actinopteri; Cypriniformes; Leuciscidae
Source: RefSeq, a predicted model, not a curated record
GCUGUUUGUUCGGCUCUCCGUUACAAGAAGAACCACUGCAUUUCUAAAAUCAUCUGAACAUUUCAGAGGCUACAUUGAAUUACAGGAGGAAGUUACCGGCACCACACUACAAUGUAACUGAAUGAUGACUGGGGUUGCAUUACGCCUGAGAUCUGCUUUUGGGUUCCAAAGACAGAAAGUCA